RNAcentral lists this ribosomal RNA (266 nucleotides) under uncultured Staphylococcus sp. RNAcentral's name for it is "partial 16S ribosomal RNA". It matches the Rfam family "Bacterial small subunit ribosomal RNA", at positions 96 to 354 of the family's 1533-position model. Lineage: Bacteria; Bacillati; Bacillota; Bacilli; Caryophanales; Staphylococcaceae. The record is from RNAcentral.
CGGCGGACGGGUGAGUAACACGUGGAUAACCUACCUAUAAGACUGGGAUAACUUCGGGAAACCGGAGCUAAUACCGGAUAAUAUAUUGAACCGCAUGGUUCAAUAGUGAAAGACGGUUUUGCUGUCACUUAUAGAUGGAUCCGCGCCGCAUUAGCUAGUUGGUAAGGUAACGGCUUACCAAGGCAACUAUGCGUAGCCGACCUGAGAGGGUGAUCGGCCACACUGGAACUGAGACACGGUCCAGACUCCUACGGGAGGCAGCAGGC